ACUCUUGUCUGAUUCCAAACACUCAGACAAGUAUGAAGCAAAUUGUUUUCUCUCUUAAAGCAGCAAUAAUACCUCCUAUCUGGUAGUUAAUCACUGCAGUCACCUAAUACUUUUUUUUAUUGAGCAUCUACUGUAGGUCCAGCACUAUGCUGAACUUGGCAGAGGGAAAUAACCUAAGAAGGGAGAGAGAAAGGAAAAGAAAUGACUGCACAGGCCCAGAAUAGCAGCUGCGGCCAUGGAACAAAACACAGCGAGCAAGGCUCAGGCCACGAGAGCCGAACUGAGAAAUAAAAACAGAAGUUCAAAUGAAAAUGACCCAUCAGGUAUCCAAGACAGACCUCCAAGGAGAGGAGCUGGUUGGUCAGAGGCUCCGGCUUGGACCAGACCCCACUGACCAGCCUGUGGGAUUCCCACACUGACAGAGACAGAAGUUCGCCGUGUUUCUGUGUGUAACUGCUGCACCGGUUGGAAGACAUUCUUGUGCACCUCCGCUGUGA
Molecule: long non-coding RNA, 497 nt
Organism: Phyllostomus discolor (pale spear-nosed bat)
Lineage: Eukaryota; Metazoa; Chordata; Mammalia; Chiroptera; Phyllostomidae
Exons: 3
Source: RefSeq, a predicted model, not a curated record